RNAcentral lists this ribosomal RNA (495 nucleotides) under uncultured bacterium. Its description in RNAcentral is "partial 16S ribosomal RNA". It matches the Rfam family "Bacterial small subunit ribosomal RNA", at positions 28 to 507 of the family's 1533-position model. The record is from RNAcentral.
GAUGAACGCUGGCGGCGUGCCUAAUACAUGCAAGUCGAACGCUGAAGGAGGAGCUUGCUCUUCUGGAUGAGUUGCGAACGGGUGAGUAACGCGUAGGUAACCUGCCUGGUAGCGGGGGAUAACUAUUGGAAACGAUAGCUAAUACCGCAUGACAACAGUUAUUGCAUGAUAACUGUUUAAAAGGGGCAACUGCUCCACUACCAGAUGGACCUGCGUUGUAUUAGCUAGUUGGUGAGGUAACGGCUCACCAAGGCGACGAUACAUAGCCGACCUGAGAGGGUGAUCGGCCACACUGGGACUGAGACACGGCCCAGACGCCUACGGGAGGCAGCAGUAGGGAAUCUUCGGCAAUGGACGGAAGUCUGACCGAGCAACGCCGCGUGAGUGAAGAAGGGUUUCGGAUCGUAAAGCUCGGUUGUAAGAGAAGAACGAGUGUGAGAGUGGAAAGUUCACACUGUGACGGUAUCUUACCAGAAAGGGACGGCUAACUACGUG